UACGGGGGGGGCAAGCGUUGUUCGGAAUUACUGGGCGUAAAGGGCUCGUAGGCGGCCAACUAAGUCGGACGUGAAAUCCCUCGGCUUAACCGGGGAACUGCGUCUGAUACUGGAUGGCUUGAAUCCGGGAGAGGAAUGCGGAAUUCCAGGUGUAGCGGUGAAAUGCGUAGAUAUCUGGAGGAACACCGGUGGCGAAGGCGGCAUUCUGGACCGGCAUUGACGCUGAUGCGCGAAAGCCAGGGGAGCAAACGGG
RNAcentral lists this ribosomal RNA (253 nucleotides) under uncultured bacterium. RNAcentral's name for it is "partial 16S ribosomal RNA". It matches the Rfam family "Bacterial small subunit ribosomal RNA", at positions 524 to 776 of the family's 1533-position model. The record is from RNAcentral.